This 778-nucleotide ribosomal RNA is filed under the name uncultured Neocallimastigales. RNAcentral's name for it is "partial large subunit ribosomal RNA". It matches the Rfam family "Eukaryotic large subunit ribosomal RNA", at positions 24 to 633 of the family's 3401-position model. Lineage: Eukaryota; Fungi; Neocallimastigomycota; Neocallimastigomycetes; Neocallimastigales. The record is from RNAcentral.
UAUCUCUGUAGAGUCUGCAUAUCAAUAAGCGGAGGAAAAGAAACUAACUAGGAUUCCCUUAGUAACGGCGAGUGAAGCGGGAAGAGCUCAGAUUUGAAAUCUUCAAGGUUUACCUUGACGAAUUGUAGUUUAAAGAAGUGUUUUCUGUUGGAUGUUUUGGUAAAAGUUCUUUGGAAUAGGACAUCAUAGAGGGUGAGAAUCCCGUAUUUGACCAUUACUUUCCAGCUUUGUGAUACACUUUCAAAGAGUCGGAUUGUUUGGGAAUGCAGUCCAAAAUGGGUGGUAAAUUUCAUCUAAAGCUAAAUAUUGGCGAGAGACCGAUAGCGAACAAGUACCGUGAGGGAAAGAUGAAAAGAACUUUGAAAAGAGAGUUAAACAGUACGUGAAAUUGUCAAAAGGGAAGCGUUUGACACCAGUGUUGUUUUCUCGAAAAUCAAUUAAAAAAAGGUUAGGAUUUUGUAUUGUUAUGACCUUAUCAGCUUACUGUACUCUUUUCUUGUCUUUUUUAAUGCACUUUUCGUUUAACAAGUCAACAUCAACUUCUUUUGUUGUAAAAGAGUCAUUGGAAGGUGGCUUUCACUUCGAGUGAAAGUGUUUAUAGCCUUUGGCUUCUGCAAUCGGAGAGAUUGAGGUCUGCAGCGUAGAUCCUUCGGGGCUAGAUACGUAGAUGCUAAGUUAUAGUUUUUUAUAGACAACUUGUUGACUAUAAUUAAUCAUGUAGCUUACUCGUUUGCGCUAUUUUACCUACGCUUAGGAUGUUGACGAUCAGCUGAGCGCG